RNAcentral lists this transfer RNA (90 nucleotides) under Puniceicoccales bacterium. RNAcentral's name for it is "tRNA-Ser". It matches the Rfam family "tRNA". Rfam says of the family: Transfer RNA (tRNA) molecules are approximately 80 nucleotides in length. The record is from RNAcentral. Lineage: Bacteria; Pseudomonadati; Verrucomicrobiota; Opitutia; Puniceicoccales.
GGAGAGAUGGCAGAGCGGCCGAUUGCACCGGUCUUGAAAACCGGAGUGCCGGUGACGGCACCGGGGGUUCGAAUCCCUCUCUCUCCGCCA